AUGGUGGGGUGCAUUUUCACUCGUUCUGUUUGGCAUGAGAUCCUCACUUGGUGCUGCCCCUCCACCCCGCCGCCCGACGGAUCUUUCGGCUUCUUUGACUGGCUAUCCGCGGCCAUCCUCAGGCUACCUCCGACCACUCGCCGCGGUCUCACUACCUUGGCCGGCCUUGUGGCAUGGACGCUUUGGCGCCACCGCAAUGCGGUUAUCUUCGACAAGAUCGCCCCGUCUACCCCGACCGUGGUCACCACUAUUAAAGACGACGCUCGCACCUGGGCCAUUGCCGGAGCCAAAGGGCUUAGCGCUUUUAUCCCUGUAACCUGA
RNAcentral lists this ribosomal RNA (321 nucleotides) under Triticum aestivum (bread wheat). RNAcentral describes it as "partial small subunit ribosomal RNA". Lineage: Eukaryota; Viridiplantae; Streptophyta; Magnoliopsida; Poales; Poaceae. The record is from RNAcentral.